RNAcentral lists this ribosomal RNA (253 nucleotides) under uncultured bacterium. RNAcentral's name for it is "partial 16S ribosomal RNA". It matches the Rfam family "Bacterial small subunit ribosomal RNA", at positions 524 to 776 of the family's 1533-position model. The record is from RNAcentral.
UACGAAGGGGGCUAGCGUUGCUCGGAAUCACUGGGCGUAAAGCGCACGUAGGCGGCUUUCUAAGUCAGGGGUGAAAUCCUGGAGCUCAACUCCAGAACUGCCCUUGAUACUGGAGAGCUUGAGUCCGGGAGAGGUGAGUGGAACUCCGAGUGUAGAGGUGAAAUUCGUAGAUAUUCGGAAGAACACCAGUGGCGAAGGCGGCUCACUGGCCCGGUACUGACGCUGAUGUGCGAAAGCGUGGGGAGCAAACAGG